Molecule: ribosomal RNA, 925 nt
Filed under: Melanospora zamiae
Lineage: Eukaryota; Fungi; Ascomycota; Sordariomycetes; Coronophorales; Ceratostomataceae
Description: LSU rRNA
Rfam family: Eukaryotic large subunit ribosomal RNA
Source: RNAcentral
ACCCGCUGAACUUAAGCAUAUCAAUAAGCGGAGGAAAAGAAACCAACAGGGAUUGCCCUAGUAACGGCGAGUGAAGCGGCAACAGCUCAAAUUUGAAAUCUGGCUCUCGGGCCCGAGUUGUAAUUUGUAGAGGAUACUUUUGAUGCGGUGCCUUCCGAGUUCCCUGGAACGGGACGCCAUAGAGGGUGAGAGCCCCGUCUGGUUGGAUGCCAAAUCUCUGUAAAGUUCCUUCGACGAGUCGAGUAGUUUGGGAAUGCUGCUCUAAAUGGGAGGUAUAUGUCUUCUAAAGCUAAAUACCGGCCAGAGACCGAUAGCGCACAAGUAGAGUGAUCGAAAGAUGAAAAGCACUUUGAAAAGAGAGUUAAAAAGUACGUGAAAUUGUUGAAAGGGAAGCGUUUAUGACCAGACUUGGGCUUGGUUAAUCAUCUGGGGUUCUCCCCAGUGCACUUUUCCAGUCCAGGCCAGCAUCAGUUUUCGCCGGGGGAUAAAGACUUCGGGAAUGUGGCUCUCUUCGGGGAGUGUUAUAGCCCGUUGUGUAAUACCCUGGCGGGGACUGAGGUUCGCGCAUCUGCAAGGAUGCUGGCGUAAUGGUCAUCAACGACCCGUCUUGAAACACGGACCAAGGAGUCGUCUUCGUAUGCGAGUGUUCGGGUGUCAAACCCCUACGCGUAAUGAAAGUGAACGCAGGUGAGAGCUUCGGCGCAUCAUCGACCGAUCCUGAUGUUCUCGGAUGGAUUUGAGUAAGAGCAUACGGGGCCGGACCCGAAAGAAGGUGAACUAUGCCUGUAUAGGGUGAAGCCAGAGGAAACUUUGGUGGAGGCUCGCAGCGGUUCUGACGUGCAAAUCGAUCGUCAAAUAUGGGCAUGGGGGCGAAAGACUAAUCGAACCUUCUAGUAGCUGGUUUCCGCCGAAGUUUCCCUCAGGA